Molecule: ribosomal RNA, 502 nt
Filed under: uncultured bacterium
Lineage: Bacteria
Description: bacterial SSU rRNA
Rfam family: Bacterial small subunit ribosomal RNA
Source: RNAcentral
AGAGUUUGAUCAUGGCUCAGGACGAACGCUGGCGGCGUGCUUAACACAUACAAGUCGAACGGAAAGGCCCUUCGGGGUACUCGAGUGGCGAACGGGUGAGUAACACGUGGGUGAUCUGCCCUGCACUUCGGGAUAAGCCUGGGAAACUGGGUCUAAUACCGGAUACACCUCAUGGACUGCAUGGUCUGUGGGGGAAAGCUUUUGCGGUGUGGGAUGGGCCCGCGGCCUAUCAGCUUGUUGGUGGGGUGAUGGCCUACCAAGGCGACGACGGGUAGCCGGCCUGAGAGGGUGACCGGCCACACUGGGACUGAGAUACGGCCCAGACUCCUACGGGAGGCAGCAGUGGGGAAUAUUGCACAAUGGGCGCAAGCCUGAUGCAGCGACGCCGCGUGGGGGAUGACGGCCUUCGGGUUGUAAACCCCUUUCAGCACAGACGAAGCGCAAGUGACGGUAUGUGCAGAAGAAGGACCGGCCAACUACGUGCCAGCAGCCGCGGUAAUUC